UAGAUUCCUCCUUUGAACUCUCACCUCAUAUGCUCCACAUGUGAACGUUGUGACGACGUGUGGUGAAUCUAUAUGAAGUCAUCUCACCUUUGAAGGUCUCCAUUGACUCAAUUACACCAUGUGACCGCAUGGAGGCGCUAUUGAGACACUUGCUGCUUUGGCAUCGUAUGAAACAGCUCAAUGUCAUUCAGUCUCAGAUUGAGACACUGGCGAGGAUGAAGCGCCUGAGAGCUGAGAGCAGCAGAGACUGGAGUUAAUGGGACGCCCCAACAUCAGUCACACACACAGUACUGUCCCACACACUGCAUGGAGAUGAGGU
RNAcentral lists this long non-coding RNA (319 nucleotides) under Sinocyclocheilus grahami. RNAcentral's name for it is "lncRNA (ENSSGRG00000025977.1)". The record is from RNAcentral. Lineage: Eukaryota; Metazoa; Chordata; Actinopteri; Cypriniformes; Cyprinidae.